Molecule: ribosomal RNA, 273 nt
Filed under: uncultured bacterium
Lineage: Bacteria
Description: partial 16S ribosomal RNA
Rfam family: Bacterial small subunit ribosomal RNA
Source: RNAcentral
UACGUAGGGUCCGAGCGUUGUCCGGAAUUAUUGGGCGUAAAGAGCUCGUAGGCGGUUUGUCGCGUCUGCUGUGAAAUCUAGAGGCUCAACCUCUAGCCUGCAGUGGGUACGGGCAGACUUGAGUGGUGUAGGGGAGACUGGAAUUCCUGGUGUAGCGGUGGAAUGCGCAGAUAUCAGGAGGAACACCGAUGGCGAAGGCAGGUCUCUGGGCACUUACUGACGCUGAGGAGCGAAAGCGUGGGGAGCGAACAGGAUUAGAAACCCCCGUAGUCC